Non-coding RNA from Potamilus streckersoni, 73 nucleotides. The record is from the annotation of a GenBank genome assembly. NCBI's taxonomy places the organism in Eukaryota, Metazoa, Mollusca, Bivalvia, Unionida, Unionidae.
UAAUCGAAGGCCUAGUGGUUAGAGCGUUCGCAUCGGAUGCGGGAGGUCUUGAGUUCGAUUCCCGGUCGAGUCU